This 735-nucleotide long non-coding RNA is filed under the name Monodelphis domestica (gray short-tailed opossum). RNAcentral describes it as "lncRNA (ENSMODG00000046083.1)". The record is from RNAcentral. Lineage: Eukaryota; Metazoa; Chordata; Mammalia; Didelphimorphia; Didelphidae.
GGAUGAGAGGUGGAUCCCACAGACACUGCCCACUGGGUAGUACUAGGCAAUUUGAAAGCUAUAAAAAGCCCCCAAAGUCUUCAGCUGGGGGGCUUCAGUUUGAGUCUUUGACUUGGAGCUUUGGCUGGAACUGCCUUUUAGAGGUGAGCUAUGUAGGAAAGGAUUUCUAGUAGGGCAUAGCAAUGCAGGCUGGCAGUGUGUAUGAUCAAGAUUCCACAGACUUUGGCUGGGUCAGGAUUCUAAGGCAGUUGGAAAUCUCUCUCCAUGAAGCUAAUCAGACUUGAAGGUGUGCCUAGUGGUGGUCUCUCUGAAGAACCAAUUGAGGAGCUGCCAAGGACUUUUGGAUUAUCAAAAGGUUAACUAUGGCCCUAGGGGCUGCUGGGAGUGCCCGGUGGGGACGGAAAAAGGUGGCAUUUUAAUGAACCUUCCUCGAGCUGCACUGGGAUCAUGCCACAGCCUAAGGGGUGCAGAGAUGCCAAGAAGGCUGUGCUGGAAGAAAAAUGAGGGGUGGCCAUCAACCUCACAGUAUAAGAUGUCUCAUGAUGAGAAGGGGAUUCACUGUCUCCUGAAAGAGCCCUUUCAAAUGGUGGUUUUCAUUGUUAAGAGGUUUGUACUUAAUGUAGAAAAGUGGAUUGGAUUGCCACAGGAAGCAGAAUUUCUUAUCACUGGAAAUCUUCAAGCAGAGGUUCAACCUUUCUUCAGCAUUUUUCUUCACCGCUACCACUGAGAUUUACA